AGUUUAAUGAUGAUUGUCUUUUUGAUUGCUUUUUGAAGCAACACACGUCACCGACUCUGAAAGCU
This is a small nucleolar RNA of Sorex fumeus (smoky shrew), 65 nucleotides long. RefSeq annotates it as small nucleolar RNA SNORD102. Lineage: Eukaryota; Metazoa; Chordata; Mammalia; Eulipotyphla; Soricidae. The record is from RefSeq and is a predicted model, not a curated record. The transcript has a single exon.